RNAcentral lists this non-coding RNA (388 nucleotides) under Callithrix jacchus (white-tufted-ear marmoset). RNAcentral describes it as "Bacterial large subunit ribosomal RNA". It matches the Rfam family "Bacterial large subunit ribosomal RNA", at positions 2074 to 2646 of the family's 2925-position model. Lineage: Eukaryota; Metazoa; Chordata; Mammalia; Primates; Cebidae. The record is from Rfam by way of RNAcentral.
AAUAAGACAAGAAAACCCUAUGGAGCUUCAAAUCAUUAAUGCAAAUAAAAACUCAAAAAGCCUAAAGACACUAACCCACCAUUCCUGCAUUAAAAGUUUUGGUUGGGGCGACCUUGAAGCAUAAUUCAACCUCCAAAGAACCUAAACUAAGACCACACUAGUCUAAGUGGAUUAAUACACAUUGACCCAAUAACUUGAUCAACAGAACAAGUUACCCUAGGGAUAAUAGUGCAAGCCUAGAAGAGUCCAUAUUGACAAUAGGGUUUACGACCUCAGUGUUGGAUCAGGACAUUCUAAUGGUGUAGCAGCUACUAAGUGUGUGUUCAAUGAUUAAAGUCCUACAUGAUGUGAGUUCAGACCAAGUAAUGAAGUUUUGUUUCUAUCUAUU